This 4635-nucleotide long non-coding RNA is filed under the name Homo sapiens (human). RNAcentral describes it as "HSALNT0288643". Lineage: Eukaryota; Metazoa; Chordata; Mammalia; Primates; Hominidae. The record is from RNAcentral.
AUCUCAGCCAUCAUAAAGCCAGUCUAACAUGACUUGCAUAUUUAGCAUGUUAACUGCUUCAUUUGGGGAGCUUCAAUAGGUAUUGAGGGAUAAGAAAAAAAGAACCAUUUUGGAAAAACUCAGGCUGCACCUGCACACAGAUAAGCAAUUUGUAUAAUUAGUGAAAUCCUAGGGAAAAAAAAAAGGUAUCUCCCUUUCAGGCAUAUAUGUGGUGGAAAUAUGCACAGGGCUGAGGAUGGCUUAUCAAAAACAACCCACUUUAUACAAGGAAAAUAAGUGGCACUGUGUGCUUGCCUGGAGGCAUACCCACAGCUACAUAAGAUAAGGGGAGUUGCACACACAGGUUUACUGAUAAGAGAAGUUACUCAAACUGCUACAGACAUGAGAGGAGUUUCUUAUAAAAGCUUUCGAAUUCAGAUGUAACCCAGCAAUGCACUCAGACUCCUCUCUGCUGUGGAGAGCUUUUUUUUUUUUUUUUCAUAUUAAACUUUCACUCCAACUUUAUCUUUGUGUUUACAAUUCUUAAUUUUUUUGUCUUGGAUAAAGAACAAAAAACCUGGAGUACUUCUUCAGACAACAAGAAACUUCCAAAUUAAGGUGCAUUGGCAAGAAUGCAACAUAUUUUGAUCCAUUGGCUUGGAAGGAGGGAAUUCAUCAGAAGGAGUCAAGGACACUUGUCUUGAGCUAGCUACACCCUUUCACAACUCAGUAAGGAGUGAAGACUGAUUUUGCAGAGCCAAUAAAGGCCCCUGGGGAAACUGGCCUCAUAUCUUGUCAUGAAGAUUUUAUACAGGUUUCCUAACCUGUGUGCUCACUGCUGCAAAGAAGAACAAGCACACAGGCAAAAAGUUUUCCCAGCAAGAAUGCCAGGGUGAAAGGAAAGAUCAAUUGGACCAGAGCACAAGUGCUGCUCCAGUUACUUGGCAGAGUACCUAAUAGUGAUCCACCACAAUACCACCAUAUAUCUGUUUGGGAAUAAACAAGGGCAAGUUGACUGCUUAAGAGUGAUGACAUGCAACUCAGUCUCUUGCAACACCACCUGAGAAAAGGAAGCACUAGCAGGAAGAACAAAUUGAUGGAGAGGAAAAGUGAUGAAUACAGAUAAGAAGCACAGCUGGUGGAGGCUCAUGUGCCAGUUUACUGGGCCUCAGGACAUUCUCCUCUAGAAGGAGGAGACAGCAUGACCCCCACUUUCUUUUAUUUUAUUAUAAUUUAAGUUUUAGGGUACAUGAGCACAAUGUGCAGGUUAGUUACAUAUGUAUACAUGUGCCAUGCUGGUGUGCUACAGCCAUUAACUCAUCAUUUAGCAUUAGGUAUAUCUCCUAAUGCUAUCCCUCCCCCCUACCCCUACCCCACAACAGCCCCCAGAGUGUGAUGUUCCCCUUCCUGUGUCCAUGUGUUCUCAUUGUUCAAUUCACACCUAUGAGUGAGAAUAUGUGGUGUUUGGUUUUUUGUCCUUGUGAUAGUUUACUGAGAAUGAUGAUUUCCAAUUUCAUCCAUGUCCCUACAAAGGACAUGAACUCAUCAUUUUUUAUGGCUGCAUAAUAUCCCAUGGUGUGUAUGUGCCCCAUUUUCUUAAUCCAGUCUAUCAUUGUUGGGCAUUUGGGUUGGUUCCAAGUCUUUGCUAUUGUGAAUAGUGCCGCAAUAAAUGUACGUGUGCAUAUGUCUUUAUAGCAGCAUGAUUUAUAGUCCUUUGGGUAUAUACCCAGUAAUGGGAUGGCUGGGUCAAAUGGUAUUUCUAGUUCUAGAUCCCUGAGAAAUCACCAAACUGACUUCGACAAUGGUUGAACUAGUUUACAGUCCCACCAACAGUGUUAGUCCAUUUACAUUUAAAGUUAAUAUUAUUAUGUGUGAAUUUGAUCCUGUCAUUAUGAUGUUAGCUGGUUAUUUUGCUCGUUAGUUGAUGCAGUUUCUUCCUAGCUUUGAAGGUCUUUACAAUUUGGCAUGGUUUUGCAGUGGCUGAUACCGGUUUUUCCUUUCCAUGUUUAGUGCUUCCUUCAGGAGCUCUUUUAGAGCAGUAAUCUCUCAGCAUUUGCUUGUCUGUAAAGUAUUUUAUUUCUCCUUCACUUAAGAAGCUUAGUUUGGCUGGAUAUGAAAUUCUGGAUUGAAAAUUCUUUUCUUUAAGAAUGUUGAAUAUUGGCCCCCACUCUCUUCUGGCUUGCAGAGUUUCUGCCAAGACAUCAGCUGUUAGUCUGAUGGGCUUCCCUUUGUGGGUAACCUGACCUUUCUCUCUGGCUGCCCUUAACAUUUUUUCCAUCAUGUCAACUUUGGUGAAUCUGACAAUUAUGUGUCUUGGAGUUGCUCUUCUUCAGGAGUAUCUUCAUGGCAUUCUCUGUAUUUCCUGAAUCUGAAUGUUGGCCUACCUUGCUAGAUUGGCGAAGUUCUCCUGCAGAGUGUUUUCCAACUUGGUUCCAUUCUCCGCAUCACUUUCAGGUACACCAAUGAGACGUAGAUUUGGUCUUUUCACAUAGUCCCAUAUUUCUUGGAGGCUUUGUUCGUUUCUUUGUAUUCUUUUUUCUCUAAACUUCCCUUCUUGCUUCAUUUCAUUCAUUUCAUCUUCCAUCACUGAUACCCUUUCUUCCAGUUGAUUGCAUCAGCUCCUGAGGCUUCCUCAUUCUUCACGUAGUUCUCAAGCCUUGGCUUUCAGCUCCAUCAGCUCUUUUAAGCACUUCUCUGUAUUGGUUAUUCUAGUUAUACAUUCGUCUAAAUUUUUUUCAAAGUUUUCAACUUCUUUGCCUUUGAUUUGAAUUUCCUCCUGUAGCUCGAAGUAGUUUGAUCGUCUGAAGCCUUCUUCUCUCAACUCGUCAAAAUCAUUCUCCAUCCAGCUUUGUUCCAUUGCUGGUGAAGAAUUGCGUUCCUUUGGAGGAGGAGAGGCGCUCUGCUUUUUAGAGUUUCCAGUUUUUCUGCUGUGUUUUUUCCCCAUCUUCGUGGGUUUAACUACUUUUGGUCUUUGAUGAUGGUGAUGUACAGAUGGGUUUUUGGUGUGGAUGUCCUUUCUGUUUGUUAGUUUUCCUUCUAACAGACAGGACCCUCAGCUGCAGGUCUGUUGGAGUUUUCUAGAGGACCACUCCAGAUCCCGUUUGCCUGGGUAUCAGCAGCGGUGGCUGCAGAACAGCAGAUUUUCAUGAACCACGAAUGCUGCUGUCUGAUGGCUCCUCUGGAAGUUUUGUCUCAGAGGAGUACCUGGCCAUGUGAGGUGUCAGUCUGCCCCUACUGGGGGGGUGCCCCCCAGUUAGGCUGCUCGGGACCCCCAAUUUGUUUGUGUAUCUCAGGGUGAGUUUGUGCCAUUUUCUGUUAGCCUUAUUGGUCUCUGUGUCUGUGGUGCACUUCAUUCAUCAGCGUCUGUGUUUGUUUGCAUUUUUUACUUGUCUCUCCAUCUAUUUCUCUGAUUUUGUUACAUUUUACAUUUUAAGUUUCAUUAUAUUUUCCAUUCACAUAUUAUACAUGCACAACUAUAUGGCAGACCAUGUUAUUUUAAAACAUGCAUACAAUAUACCAAAUAAUGGUAUUUAUUCAUCUCCUCUAAUGUUCCUCGUGAUUAGAACCCUAGGAAUUCUCUCUUCUAUUUAGAAAUAUAUAAUGCAUUGUUAUUAAAAAUAGUGACCCUGCUGUGCAAUGGAAUACCAUUGCUUCUUUUUUUUCAAUUUAACUACUUUUUUUGUAUUUAUUUACCAACUUCUUCCUAUCCCUACAUUUCUAAUUCUUUCUAGACCCCCAUAACCACUAUUCUUCCCUAUAAUUCUAUGAGAAAAUUUUUUAGAUUCCACAUAUAGGUCAGAUAAUGUGUUAUUUUUAUUCCUACACCUAGGUUAUUUUGCUUAGUUACAUGUAAAGGAAUAUACAUGGUAUGUGGCAUGGCAAAUGAUAAAAGUUCAUUUUUAAUAGAUAUAUACUAUUUCAUUGUGUGUGUGUGUACAUAUACCACAUUUUAAAUUCAUUUGUCUGUUUAUGAACAUCCAGGUUUAAUAUUGUAUUGUUCAUGGUGAAUAGUGCUGUAAUAAACAAAAAAGAGCAAAUAUUUAUUUGACAUGCUAAUUUUCUUUCCCUUGCCUACAUACUCAGUGGUGCAGAUUGUUCAGUCAUGUGGAAACUUUCAUGUAAAUUUUUUAGAGAUCUACAGAAUGUCUUCCAUACUGAUUCUACUAAUUUACAUUCCAUCCAAGAGGAUGUUUUGUGCAGUUCCCCACUUUUCUUUUCUCCACAUCCCUGGCAAUACUUGUUAUUCUUUUGCAAUUUUUAGUUAUAUCCAUUAUUAUUCUAAUAGAUUCACUGAGCUGAAAGGACUUGUCAUAUUUUCUUAUGGGUUUUCCUGGCAUUUCUCCAAUAAAAAUUAUGUUGAACUUUUAUUUAGAAAUGUGUUGGAAGUAUCUGUGUCAUUUUUGGAGAAAUGUCUAUUUACAUCUUUUGAACAUUUUUAAUUAGAAAAUUUUUGGCUAUUGUUUCUUAUUUGUUCUGGAUACUAAGUUUUUUUCUUUUUUUUCCUUUUGUUUUGGAGAUGGAGUCUUACUCUGUCACCCAGGCUGGAGUGCAGUGAUGCAACCUUGGCUCACGGCAACCUCUGCUUCCCAGAUCAAACGAUUCUCCUACCUCAGCCUCCUGAGUAGCUGGGAUUACAGGUGUGUGCCACCACACCCA